This 255-nucleotide ribosomal RNA is filed under the name uncultured archaeon. Its description in RNAcentral is "partial 16S ribosomal RNA". It matches the Rfam family "Archaeal small subunit ribosomal RNA", at positions 728 to 982 of the family's 1478-position model. The record is from RNAcentral.
AUUAGACUACCCGGGUAGUCCCAGCCGUAAACUAUGCGCGUUAGGUGUAUCGGUGACCACGAGUUACCGAGGUGCCGAAGGGAACCGUGAAACGUGCCGCCUGGGAAGUACGGUCGCAAGGCUGAAACUUAAAGGAAUUGGCGGGGGAGCACCACAACAGGUGGAGCCUGCGGUUUAAUUGGACUCAACGCCGGGAAGCUCACCGGAUAGGACAGCAGAAUGAUUGCCGGGCUGAAGACCCUGCAUGACUAGCUG